UUGAUUUAGGAUUUGGAUUAGGAUUUGGAUUAGGGUUUAGAGUUUGGUUAAGAUUUGAUUUAGGGUUUGGAUUAAGGUUUGGUUAAGGUUUGAUUUAGGAUUUGGAUUAGGAUUUGGAUUAGGGUUUGGAUUAGGGUUUAGGAUUUGAUUAGGGUUAAGGAUUGGAUUAGGGUUUGGGUUAGGGUUUAGGAUUUUGUUAGGAUUUGAUUUAGGAUUUGGAUUACGGUUUGAUUUAAGGUUUGGUUUAGGAUUUAGGGUUUGGAUUAGGAUUUAGGAUUAGAUUAGAGUUUGGAUUAGAAUUUAGGGUUUGGUUUAGGAUUUGAUUUAGGAUUUAGAAUUUGAAAUAGAAUUUAAUUUAAGAUUUAUUUAGGAUAGGACUUAGGAUUUAGGAUUUGAUUUAGGAUUUAGAAUUUGAAAUAGGGUUUAAUUUAAGGUUUAUUUAGGAUUUGACUUAGGAUUUAGGAUUUAUUAGGCUUUAAGAUUUAAUUAGGUUUGGUCUAAAAUUUGAGUGAAAUUCAAUAGGGUUUUAACUAGAAUUAAAUUAAGGUUGAAUUGACAUAUAUUUGAGUAAUAUUUGUGUUCAUUUUAAUAUUUCUUUAAGAAUUUUAUUGUUUGUUUGAAAUUUCUUUGAGUUGUUUUGAAUUUGAUUACGUUUGUUUAUCAUUAUUAUAGUCUAAUUAGAGCAUUGUUAGUAUUCUAUUAGAAUUAGGAUUUUGUUA
RNAcentral lists this long non-coding RNA (719 nucleotides) under Physcomitrium patens. Its description in RNAcentral is "long non-coding RNA (PPAT_LNC003847)". Lineage: Eukaryota; Viridiplantae; Streptophyta; Bryopsida; Funariales; Funariaceae. The record is from RNAcentral.